CCGGUGGACCUCGGAUCAGGUAGGGAUACCCGCUGAACUUAAGCAUAUCAAUAAGCGGAGGAAAAGAAACCAACCGGGAUUGCCUCAGUAACGGCGAGUGAAGCGGCAACAGCUCAAAUUUGAAAUCUGGCCUCUGCGGGGUCCGAGUUGUAAUUUGCAGAGGGUGUUUCGGGUGCGGUGCCGGUCUAAGUUCCUUGGAACAGGACGUCAUAGAGGGUGAGAAUCCCGUCUGCGACUCGGCCACCAACCCCGCGUGAAACCCCUUCGACGAGUCGAGUUGUUUGGGAAUGCAGCUCAAAAUGGGUGGUAAAUUUCAUCUAAAGCUAAAUACCGGCCAGAGACCGAUAGCGCACAAGUAGAGUGAUCGAAAGAUGAAAAGCACUUUGGAAAGAGAGUUAAAAAGUACGUGAAAUUGUUGAAAGGGAAGCGCUUGCGACCAGACCUGUCCCCGGGCGAUCAUCCGCCAUUCGUGGCGGUGCACUCGCCCGGACGCAGGCCAGCAUCGGUUCGGGCGGCGGGACAAAGGGCCCGGGAACGUAGCUUCCUCCGGGGAGCUUUAUAGCCCGGGUUGCCAUGCCGCCCGCCUGGACCGAGGACCGCGCUUCGGCUAGGAUGCUGGCGUAAUGGUCGUAAGCGACCCGUCUUGAAACACGGACCAAGGAGUCUACCAUCUGUGCGAGUGUUUGGGUGUCAAACCCGGGCGCGGAAUGAAAGUGAACGGAGGUGAGACCCCGGCAACGGGCGCAUCAUCGACCGAUCCAAAUGUCUUCGGAUGGAUUUGAGUACGAGCAUAGCUGGUGGGACCCGAAAGAUGAUGAACUAUGCCUGAAUAGGGUGAAGCCAGAGGAAACUCUGGUGGAGGCUCGCAGCGGUUCUGACGUGCAAAUCGAUCGUCGAAAUUGGGUAUAGGGGCGAAAGACCAAUCGAAUCAUCUAGUAGCUGGU
RNAcentral lists this ribosomal RNA (944 nucleotides) under Phormopsora isabellina. RNAcentral's name for it is "Pannariaceae sp. CHP-2019a partial large subunit ribosomal RNA". It matches the Rfam family "Eukaryotic large subunit ribosomal RNA", at positions 1 to 955 of the family's 3401-position model. Lineage: Eukaryota; Fungi; Ascomycota; Lecanoromycetes; Peltigerales; Pannariaceae. The record is from RNAcentral.